CAGGCCUUGACAUCCAAUGAACUUUCCAGAGAUGGAUUGGUGCCUUCGGGAACAUUGAGACAGGUGCUGCAUGGCUGUCGUCAGCUCGUGUCGUGAGAUGUUGGGUUAAGUCCCGUAACGAGCGCAACCCUUGUCCUUAGUUACCAGCACGUAAUGGUGGGCACUCUAAGGAGACUGCCGGUGACAAACCGGAGGAAGGUGGGGAUGACGUCAAGUCAUCAUGCCCCUUACGGCCUGGGCUACACACGUGCUACAAUGGUCGGUACAGAGGGUUGCCAAGCCGCGAGGUGGAGCUAAUCUCACAAAACCGAUCGUAGUCCGGAUCGCAGUCUGCAACUCGACUGCGUGAAGUCGGAAUCGCUAGUAAUCGCGAAUCAGAAUGUCGCGGUGAAUACGUUCC
RNAcentral lists this ribosomal RNA (400 nucleotides) under uncultured Pseudomonas sp. Its description in RNAcentral is "bacterial SSU rRNA". It matches the Rfam family "Bacterial small subunit ribosomal RNA", at positions 975 to 1374 of the family's 1533-position model. Lineage: Bacteria; Pseudomonadati; Pseudomonadota; Gammaproteobacteria; Pseudomonadales; Pseudomonadaceae. The record is from RNAcentral.